ACCAGCUGAUGGCGCCACUUCCUUCGCUUCUAGUGUAAGGCCCCUCGGAGUCAGUGUCACUCCAGCCACCUGCAGUCCCCAGCCCGGGCUGGGGCGGAAACGCAGGGCAGCAGAAUGAGCGCGGGUUUUGAAAUCCAGCUGUGAUUUGGACCAGCUGUGGGCAGAUUACUUAAUAGCUCUGUAUCCUUCUUGGGAGUAAUAAUACCCACCUUAUGCAGUUCUUGUGAGAAUCAAAAUGAGUCCAAGCAUGUGAAAUAUUUAAUGCCUGGCAUUUGAGAAAUGUUCAAUAGUAGUUUCUAUUCCAAACUCGCCCAUCCUCAGCCCACAGUCAGGGUGGCUGUUCCCCAUUGUAACCCUCUUGAGUGCAUUACUGAUAUGCUCUAGGGUAUGCUUGAGAGAGGAUAUGGGAAUUUUCCUUCCACUCUUCACCUAGGUUUUUACAUAUGAUCCUUAUUUGUGGAGUGGUAGCAGUAAAUCCUUGAGGGCAUGCAUGCCCACGGUUCCGCUCCAUGUUUAUUAAAGACCUACUAUGUGCAGACACUGCUGGGGACAGAAAAAUGAAUAUGACAUAGCCCUGCCCUCAAGAACCUUAUAGUCCAGCUGAAGAGAUAGACAUACAAAUAAGCAAUUUAAAUAUUAGGCGUUAAAUGCUGUGAUGAUGGUGUGUACAGAAUGCUAAGACAGCACAGAGGAAGGACAAUGAGCAUAAUCUUGGAGCUGAAGAUAAUGUCCCCAGGAGGGUACGGUCUGAGAUGAGUCUUAAAGGAGCCAGGAGAAGUUAGCCAAGGUGGUGACCUUGGACUUAUCCAAUGAACUAAGCUGGAACCGCAUUUCCCAGAAUUCCCUUCCCUGUGUGGCUCUGGGCUCAGACUGACCCCAUGAGAAAUGUGCACGAGGUCUGGAGGGUAGAAGGAAGGCAGCAGCUGUGUAGAUGUUCCUUGUGUCAAUGUGGAGCCGGGUAGCUCACGCUUGUUUUUGCAGAUCCACAGACUUCCCUUGUUGAGGUGAGGCAGCGCCUUCGACGUCUCUGACUCCUAGGCCAGGUGUGUGUCUAGCUCCGUGAUGGAAGGUGCCAGCUUCCCUUGUAAGUGACCAGCAUGGGCUCUGCUUCACCCUUCCGGGCUCCCAGCUUACCCAGACCUUAGCAGUCUGCUGACUCCAGCUUUCAGCAGAGCAGAAACAACGCCUUGGGAAGACUUAAAACAACUUUGAAUAAGAACCUGCUUGAGAAAGAUUUGCCUUACAAGCUAAAUGUUACAUUUCCACUCAACAGAAAGGUACUGCUGUGUGGCCGUAAAAAGCUGGCCAAAACCCUGUAACCUUUGCAGUUAGUCAUGUUAUUUUUGGUUCAUGCCAACAUGGAUCACAGCUGUGACUCAACAGAGCCACUGAAGCAAGAAUUCAAAGAGUUUAAAGAACAGCAAACUCAGAAAUGACUUUUUUUUUCUUAUGGUGUCAUUACGCAACAUUUCUUGUCGUUUACCUUUUCUAAUUUACCAACUCCAUACAGAUGAGCUCAGUCGUUGUUUGGCAAUUGAAAAUCUGAGUUGCGUCAGCACACUUCCCCAAAUCCCACUGCAGGCGGAGGAUGAUGAAGCUUUCCUUUCUGGGGUGUUUGUUUUACGUAAGUAGUGACUUACUUUUCAGAGGUAAAAAAAAAAAAAAAAUCUGUGUUGAUAUAUGUCUCCCUCAAACCAAAAAUAGGACUGGGGAUUGAUUUAAACGUUUGCAGUUCCCCAUUUGAAGAUGACAGAAAGCCCAUAUCGACUGGUUCUGCCUUUGUUUUUGUUUUUCACUAAUUUAUAUUCACAAAAUGAAGCCAUAAGCUUAGACCUCACCGAAUGGAAAACAGGCAUGGACUUCAGCAGGCAAUAUAUUAGCAUAUUUAUCAACAUCCUUUAGAUUUUUGCUUUCAUUUUUUAAAUUACCAUGUAAACUUGAAGAUAACCCCAGUUUUCCCAUUUGUGGGAACAUAAGAAAGGGAGAUGAAAAAAAAUAAUAUUUGUCCCUUAUCUAUGAAGUGCUUUUAUUUUUUAAAUUUUUUUUAUUACCUGAAGAACUACAUUAUCGUCAAUAUGAAGUGCUGUUUUUUUAAGCAUUAUGAUUAGACUUAAGGAUUCUAAGGACUAAAGUAUUAAGGUGUUUUUUGUUGUUAUUUGCUAAUCAUUAAUCAACUGUUUUACCUGAUUAAUUUUCUCUUUGGGAAAAUAGAUUGAGAUUGUGAUCUGGGAGACCAAAGUAGACAUUACUUUAUCAAUGAAGAAGGACCUUAAGGUUAACGAAACAAAAAGUUGGCCAGGUGAGGUGGCUCACGCCUGUAAUCCCAGCACUUUGGGAGGCAGAGGUGGGUGGAUCACGAGGUCAGGAGUUCAACACAAUCCUGGCCAACAUGGUGAAACCCCGUCUCUACUAAAAAUACAAAAUUAGCUGGGUACGGAGGCACACACCUGCAGUCCCAGCUACUCAGGAGGCUGAGGCAGGAGAAUUGCUUGUACCUAGGAGGCGGAGGUUGCAGUGAGCUGAGAUCAUGCCAGUGCACUCCAGCCUGUGUGAUGGAGCAAGACUCCGUCUCAAAAAAAAA
RNAcentral lists this long non-coding RNA (2581 nucleotides) under Homo sapiens (human). RNAcentral's name for it is "HSALNT0332196". The record is from RNAcentral. Lineage: Eukaryota; Metazoa; Chordata; Mammalia; Primates; Hominidae.